CCUACGGGCGGCAGCAGUGGGGAAUAUUGCACAAUGGGGGGAACCCUGAUGCAGCAACGCCGCGUGGGUGAAGAAGUACUUCGGUAUGUAAAGCCCUGUCAGCAGGGAAGAAAAUGACGGUAUCUCACCCAGAAGCCCCGGCUAUCUACGUGCGAGCAGCCGCGGGAAUACGUAGGGGGCAAGAGUUGUCCGGAUUUACUGGGUGUAAAGGGAGCGUAGAGGGGAAGACAAGUCUGGAGUGAAAGCCCGUGGCUCAACCACGGGACUGCUUUUGAAACUGUGUUGCUGGAGUGCAGGAGGGGCAAGCGGAAUUCCUAGUGUAGCGGUGAAAUGCGUAGAUAUUAGGAGGAACACCGGUGGCGAAGGCGGCUUACUGGACUGUAACUGACGUUGAGGCUCGAAGGCGUGGGGAGCAAACAGGAUUAGAUACCCUUGUAGUC
This 440-nucleotide ribosomal RNA is filed under the name uncultured bacterium. RNAcentral describes it as "partial 16S ribosomal RNA". It matches the Rfam family "Bacterial small subunit ribosomal RNA", at positions 338 to 795 of the family's 1533-position model. The record is from RNAcentral.